ACAACCUCGGAAUCACCAAUACCCACAGAUUCCGACAAGCAGCAGCAGAGCCCAUCCCGUGGCCGCUGUCCUUUCUCCUCCCCAUCUGCUGCCAGCUCCCCGUGGCUGCCUGCACUUGCUGCACCUGGCUGCCAGGGAAUAGCUGCUGACAUGUCCCUGCCCCCUCAGCCCCCCUGAGGUAUCCAGACUCCAUCGUGUGUGUGGUGGGCUUCAUCCCAUUUGGAGCACAGCAGAUGGGCAGCGCCACAGUCCAGGUGAGGUGCCCUCAUAUAUUUUGUAUUUCUGCAGCAGAGUGGGGACACUGGGUUUAACUUGUUUAGUGUUCCCACAUGGACUUUGCAUCUGCUCUUUUGGCUGUGCCAGGGCUGUGUGCUUCAUCACCCAAGACCGCAAAUGGGUGCUGUGUUCAUUGUUGGUGCCCAAUCACAUCUUAAAGUACAUAAAGCAAUUGAUUGAAGCUGUUUCACAAGCAGCACAACCAAUAAUCCUUUUUCCCCCAGGGAUUUAUGAUCUCCUCACUACAGCAAUCCCAAUCUCCUACCUAUGCCCUGUGAUGCUUCCAUUAGAGCCCAACAAUCCCAGUGCUGCAUUUCCAGCUCCCAGUAUGCCUCCCUGAUCUCUGUCAUGGUACCACCAGCUCCUCCAUGUACCUUCUGGGUUCUGCCUAUCACAGUGCCUUGGCUUUCUUCUGUGUCCCUGUGACCUCCCUAUAAUUCCCUGUCUCUCUUCCAUGGUGCCCCCCAAGCCUGUUGGAUUGCCAUUUAGGCAAGGUUAGUCUGGGUGGAUCAUGUAGAUAGCUGCUGGCAUCAGACUCAGCAGCUGGGUGUGUGACUCCUCUUGGUGGCCUUGAGAGGGAAUGGAGACAGUGUCAUCUAUCUGUCCACAAACUCCCACAGACCUUCUAGGGACUUUGUACCUCCAAGAGAUUUGUCUCUGCCAGAUUUUGUUGACCAUUGUCAAAACCUCAGAGCUGUGAAUGUUGACUAAGGGGCAGCAUGACCAUGUUAAUUGAAUUCCAUAGAAAGAUGUGUACAUGGGAUUCUGCAUCUCCUGGGUGGAAUUGGACCUGUUGCUUGGAGCCUCCUAGGUCUGCUCAGCCUAUGAGUUAUAGGUGAACCUGUGGAAUGGACCUGGGUUUAUCUAGCAGGAAGGUCUGUCUUUGUGAAGUGCACUGCCUGGAGAGGGCAGCUUUGAAGUGCUGAUUGGCACUGGCUUUAUUGUUAUAACCAUAUAGAGUGUUUUUGUGCUCAGAUCGCUUCUGGACACACAACAAAGGGCAAGGAAGCAAACAAAUGGAGUGCUGUGGGAACAAGUUAAAUGGAUCACCAUGUGGGGAGUUCCAAUCUCAACAUCACCUGCUAAUUUCCCGUUUCUCUAGGGGCUCAUUAUUCCUGCCUGGAAAAGUCAGGGUGGAAACUCAGCUCUCAACUACACAGGACCUCUGUGCUGAGUUGAAGCAAAGGAAGGUGUUUCUGCAGAGAAAUGUCCCCAGGAUGCAAACACAUUGGUUGUACCUCAUCAGAACCAAACAGGUUUGAUUUUACUGAGACCAGUGCAGCGUAGCAAGGUGGAUUUGCUCUGUGUCGAUCUGCUGUAAAUAAAUUUGCUUCUUUUUGGAAGAAA
This is a non-coding RNA of Taeniopygia guttata (zebra finch), 1623 nucleotides long. The record is from RefSeq and is a predicted model, not a curated record. NCBI's taxonomy places the organism in Eukaryota, Metazoa, Chordata, Aves, Passeriformes, Estrildidae.